This 229-nucleotide ribosomal RNA is filed under the name uncultured bacterium. RNAcentral describes it as "partial 16S ribosomal RNA". It matches the Rfam family "Bacterial small subunit ribosomal RNA", at positions 568 to 796 of the family's 1533-position model. The record is from RNAcentral.
UGCGUAGGCGGGCCUGUAAGUCAGAGGUGAAAUCCCACGGCCUAACCGUGGAACUGCCUUUGAUACUGCAGGUCUUGAGUCCUGGAGAGGUCGCCGGAAUUCGUGGUGUAGCGGUGAAAUGCGUAGAUAUCACGAGGAACGCCGGAGGUGUAGACGGGUGACUGGACAGGAACUGACGCUCAGGCACGAAAGCGUGGGGAGCAAACAGGAUUAGAUACCCUGGUAGUCC